Molecule: transfer RNA, 69 nt
Filed under: Pseudomonas syringae
Lineage: Bacteria; Pseudomonadati; Pseudomonadota; Gammaproteobacteria; Pseudomonadales; Pseudomonadaceae
Description: tRNA-Pro
Source: RNAcentral
UGGGCUGUAGCCUCAUGCGCUUGCAUGGGGUGCUAGGGGUCGAGUGUUCGAAUCACUCCGUCCCGACCA